GUCUAUGGCCAUGCCACCCUGAACGUGCCUGAUCUUGUCUGAUCUUGGAAGCUAAGCAGGGUCGGGCCUGGUUAGUACUUGGAUGGAAGACCACCUAGGAAGACCAGGUGCUGUAAAGU
This 119-nucleotide ribosomal RNA is filed under the name Pteropus alecto (black flying fox). Lineage: Eukaryota; Metazoa; Chordata; Mammalia; Chiroptera; Pteropodidae. The record is from RNAcentral.